This 465-nucleotide ribosomal RNA is filed under the name Vreelandella stevensii. Its description in RNAcentral is "partial 16S ribosomal RNA". It matches the Rfam family "Bacterial small subunit ribosomal RNA", at positions 338 to 795 of the family's 1533-position model. Lineage: Bacteria; Pseudomonadati; Pseudomonadota; Gammaproteobacteria; Oceanospirillales; Halomonadaceae. The record is from RNAcentral.
CCUACGGGAGGCAGCAGUGGGGAAUAUUGGACAAUGGGCGAAAGCCUGAUCCAGCCAUGCCGCGUGUGUGAAGAAGGCCUUUGGGUUGUAAAGCACUUUCAGUGGGGAAGAAAGCCUUGGGGCUAAUACCCUCGAGGAAGGACAUCACCCACAGAAGAAGCACCGGCUAACUCCGUGCCAGCAGCCGCGGUAAUACGGAGGGUGCGAGCGUUAAUCGGAAUUACUGGGCGUAAAGCGCGCGUAGGCGGUCUGAUAAGCCGGUUGUGAAAGCCCCGGGCUCAACCUGGGAACGGCAUCCGGAACUGUCAGGCUAGAGUGCAGGAGAGGAAGGUAGAAUUCCCGGUGUAGCGGUGAAAUGCGUAGAGAUCGGGAGGAAUACCAGUGGCGAAGGCGGCCUUCUGGACUGACACUGACGCUGAGGUGCGAAAGCGUGGGUAGCAAACAGGAUUAGAUACCCGAGUAGUC